This 1028-nucleotide long non-coding RNA is filed under the name Phasianus colchicus (ring-necked pheasant). Its description in RNAcentral is "lncRNA (ENSPCLG00000018491.1)". Lineage: Eukaryota; Metazoa; Chordata; Aves; Galliformes; Phasianidae. The record is from RNAcentral.
GGGUGGUAUUGAGAACACAUUACCCUCAUUAAUUCAGUCUUUAGCUUUUGGACAGCUUUUCUUUUUCAGGAUAAAAUUCAGAGCUCGACCUGCAGCUCUACUGUUCCCAAGCUGAUUUCCUAUGUCUGUGCAUGGUCCUGUCCUGCUGGUAUCUGCUUCUCAGAGGAAACAUUGCUCGCAAGAGAGCACUGCAGGCAGGCAAUGCACAUGGAAUAGCAGAUCUGUGUUGCAAUGUGGGCUAGGAAGGAGAGUCACAGGGCAGAGAUUUUGAGUCAGCUGCUUUUAAUGUAGUGUGCAAAGAGUUCAGAAAUACUUCACUCUUUUUCUCUUCCCUUCUCACACUUCCAUGCUGUGUCAAGAAAUACAUCUAUGAAUGAGACAACUGCAUGAAAUUCAUCGACAGACUCACAAAGUCAGCUGUGAUAAUAGAACUGGAUAAACUUUCUUCAGAUGAGACCAAGAGCAAAAAGGAUUCCAAGUCAGAUUUUCAGGAAGGCAAAUUGAGUGAGUUCUGUGCUGAUUAUCAUGGGUUUCAAAUUCACUGCUGCUAUUCUGCAUCUGUCUAAUUUACUGAGUAAAAAUGCAGAGUUUUCCUCCAGAUGAACUCAGUAGCUCACUGUAGACUGCUUAGAACAAAAGCCAGAAAGUAGUGAGAAAGCUACUGCUGAUGAUGAUGGAAGCACAUCUUCAGUACAUGAAUCUACGGUACCAGUAAAAAAAUAAGAAAUGUUAGUUGUAUGUCAAUGGCUUGUAGACUCUGAAAUCAAUCGUUAGGAAGAAAUUAGGAUUGUGUGACUUAGUUAAUGAAAUAUAUUGGUUUAUUUGUUGUGUUUUUUGUUGUUUUUUUUUUAAUGCUGGUACUCCUCUUUGAUUUGCUUCACUAGAAAUGACUGUGUAAAUAUGGUUCUUGUGAGAUGUUUGUCCUCUUUUCUUAUCAUGGAAUUCUUCCAUACACAUAGAAGUGAUCAAUGAAGGCACAGCUUCAUGGCUAAUUUCUUCUUAUCCUGUGUAUUCCUAUAUUAAUAAAC